AUUGAACGCUGGCGGCAGGCCUAACACAUGCAAGUCGAACGGUAACAGGAAUCAGCUUGCUGAUUUGCUGACGAGUGGCGGACGGGUGAGUAAUGUCUGGGAAACUGCCUGAUGGAGGGGGAUAACUACUGGAAACGGUAGCUAAUACCGCAUAACGUCGCAAGACCAAAGAGGGGGACCUUCGGGCCUCUUGCCAUCGGAUGUGCCCAGAUGGGAUUAGCUAGUAGGUGGGGUAAAGGCUCACCUAGGCGACGAUCCCUAGCUGGUCUGAGAGGAUGACCAGCCACACUGGAACUGAGACACGGUCCAGACUCCUACGGGAGGCAGCAGUGGGGAAUAUUGCACAAUGGGCGCAAGCCUGAUGCAGCCAUGCCGCGUGUAUGAGGAAGGCCUUCGGGUUGUAAAGUACUUUCAGCGGGGAGGAAGGGAGUAAAGUUAAUACCUUUGCUCAUUGACGUUACCCGCAGAAGAAGCACCGGCUAACUCCGUG
RNAcentral lists this ribosomal RNA (490 nucleotides) under uncultured bacterium. Its description in RNAcentral is "partial 16S ribosomal RNA". It matches the Rfam family "Bacterial small subunit ribosomal RNA", at positions 30 to 507 of the family's 1533-position model. The record is from RNAcentral.